Molecule: long non-coding RNA, 858 nt
Organism: Tachysurus fulvidraco (yellow catfish)
Lineage: Eukaryota; Metazoa; Chordata; Actinopteri; Siluriformes; Bagridae
Exons: 4
Source: RefSeq, a predicted model, not a curated record
UCUCCAGCCGCGGGUCCACUGUGUUCUUGUCAUUAAGGACAAGCUGAAAUUACUCCAGAUGCAGACGAGGUAUGGAGGCUGGCAGACAGAUGGCACGGACCAGCGGGCAGGGCUGCAACCAUUUGUGUUCUUGUUGCAGUGGUGAGUGGUGUCUUGGCCCACGGAUUACUGUGUCCGGUUGUAAUCCCGCACCCUCGUCCACUCGGUGUCAGAGCAAGGGCUUGUGAGCUGUAAUCAUUAUGUCGUAAGGAUUUAUCCUGCAUGUCCCCUCCACCCCACCCCACCCUACCCCACCCCAUUCCAUCCUGCUCUGUUUCUCUCUCUCACUUAUCCUCUUCUCUCUUCUCCUACCGCGUCUCCCUCCCUCGCUAAGUCCCACACUGUGGUUCUUAUAUUUCUCAAGCUCUCACACACGUUUUUAGUUAUCUGUCAUUCUAUCAGGAUAUCUGCUUUCUCUCCUCCUUCUUUCAUUCACCCUUGAGAGAUGCAAGUCAUCAACAGGUCCAAGAGAUGAUGCUUUCUCUGUGUUGCUAAAGAGAACUCUCUGGUCAGUUCGGGCGAGCUUAGCCGGAGGCUCCAGAGACUCGUCACCGAGAGCGGAUCCAUCAGCCGGCAGAGACAAUUCCUGACACUCAUCAUCACUCUCCUCUUCCUCCUCAUCCUCCUCUUCUGACAAACACACACAAAGGAAUGGUUACAACUGCAGAUGUGACAGAGAAAGAGCCGCAUGGGAGCUGAAGGACGGCUCACCUGUAGAAGCUCCAUCUGAGCAGAAAGAGUUUAGCAGCUUUGGGGAAGGCCGGGCUGGCCUGGUACGGCUUUAGGACCUGGGAGACAACACCAUCCAACCAGGCAGCC